AGCAAGGCACCUGAACUUGCUGUGCUAUACUCUCAACCAGAAGAUUAAAGAGUCAGCCAACAUGGACAGAGAUAGAUAGCGGAACUGACAGGAACAGAAAACCAAAUGCCGCAUGUUCUAGCUUAUAAGUGGGAGCUAAACAUUGAGUACACAGGGACACAAAGAAGAAAAUGACAGACACUGAGGCCUACUUGAUAGUGGACAGUGGGAAGGAGGAAUAUCAAUAAGUUCCAAUUGAAGAGCGGAUUCUUUUGCAAUUCAGGCAUGUGCCGGCGAUAACGGGCGAGUUGGCAUGAAGAGAGGCAGAGAUGGAUUAAUUAUGCAGAGAACAUGGAAAUUCUGCUUAUCAUCGGCUAGCAAAGGAGCCCGGCUCACAUAAUCAGCAAACGAAGGGAGAGGAAAAAAUAACAAUGCAAUGGCACCUUCCAGCCCAUCAUCAGGAUUUUUUCUACCCCCUUGUAAUUAAAAAAUAACAUACACUUAUAGCCCUAUCUCCUGUGCAGGCAAGGAGUGGAUGUCCACAAAAUAAUUGCACUGGGAUAUUAGAGCUGGCGACACGGGCUGUCCAUUCCGGCUUGCUCUCCUGCUCACCCUCUCUUUCUCUUUUGGCCUCUCAGGCACUUUGCUUCUGAACCCAGUCCAAAUCAGAGAGACGUCUCAGGUGACAUUCAAGCUCGGUUUCCAAAAAUCCCAAAUUGGUACCUUAUCAUGAUCCAAGCAAACAUACAUACAUAUAUGAUAAAUAUUUGGAGGGCUGACUCUAGAGGAGGCUUUGGAACUGAUCACCUGUGGACUAUCUGGUCAGUUUCAUUUUUUAUGAAACAUGUCCAAAUAGCCUUCAUUUUGCAAAGUGGCUGGAUUAAAAUGGUGGCUGUGCAACGGCUGUGCUAUCUUCUCAAAUCAUUUAACUUACCUACAAGUUUUUGUUUCUAUUCCCUUUGCCAACUCAUUUUAUAAAUGUUAAGUUAAUGAUUGCAAUGUCUGCACCUCAAAAUCAGAAUUCGCAAUUCUGUAUUGUCAUUGUAAAAUCUGACAGCUCAAUGCCUUGUAUUUCUCUAAAUGCCAAAAG
RNAcentral lists this long non-coding RNA (1069 nucleotides) under Homo sapiens (human). RNAcentral's name for it is "HSALNT0348983". Lineage: Eukaryota; Metazoa; Chordata; Mammalia; Primates; Hominidae. The record is from RNAcentral.